GGUUGUGGCUCAAUGGCAGAGUGUUUGUCUAGCAUGUAUGAGGCACUGGGUUCAAUUCUCAGCACCA
RNAcentral lists this transfer RNA (67 nucleotides) under Marmota monax (woodchuck). RNAcentral's name for it is "tRNA.Ala". The record is from RNAcentral. Lineage: Eukaryota; Metazoa; Chordata; Mammalia; Rodentia; Sciuridae.